GAUGAACGCUGGCGGCGUGCCUAAUACAUGCAAGUCGAGCGAACAGAUAAGGAGCUUGCUCCUUUGAAGUUAGCGGCGGACGGGUGAGUAACACGUGGGUAACCUACCUAUAAGACUGGGAUAACUUCGGGAAACCGGAGCUAAUACCGGAUAACAUUUAGAACCGCAUGGCUCUAAAGUGAAAGAUGGUUUUGCUAUCACUUAUAGAUGGACCCGCGCCGUAUUAGCUAGUUGGUAAGGUAACGGCUUACCAAGGCGACGAUACGUAGCCGACCUGAGAGGGUGAUCGGCCGCACUGGAACUGAGACACGGUCCAGACUCCUACGGGAGGCAGCAGUAGGGAAUCUUCCGCAAUGGGCGAAAGCCUGACGGAGCAACGCCGCGUGAGUGAUGAAGGGUUUCGGCUCGUAAAACUCUGUUAUUAGGGAAGAACAAAUGUGUAAGUAACUGUGCACAUCUUGACGGUACCUAAUCAGAAAGCCACGGCUAACUACGUGCCAGCAGCCGCGGUAAUACGUAGGUGGCAAGCGUUAUCCGGAAUUAUUGGGCGUAGCGCGCGUAGGCGGUUUCUUAAGUCUGAUGUGAAAGCCCACGGCUCAACCGUGGAGGGUCAUUGGAAACUGGGAAACUUGAGUGCAGAAGAGGAAAGUGGAAUUCCAUGUGUAGCGGUGAAAUGCGCAGAGAUAUGGAGGAACACCAGUGGCGAAGGCGACUUUCUGGUCUGUAACUGACGCUGAUGUGCGAAAGCGUGGGGAUCAAACAGGAUUAGAUACCCUGGUAGUCCACGCCGUAAACGAUGAGUGCUAAGUGUUAGGGGGUUUCCGCCCCUUAGUGCUGCAGCUAACGCAUUAAGCACUCCGCCUGGGGAGUACGACCGCAAGGUUGAAACUCAAAGGAAUUGACGGGGACCCGCACAAGCGGUGGAGCAUGUGGUUUAAUUCGAAGCAACGCGAAGGACCUUACCAAAUCUUGACAUCCUUUGAAAACUCUAGAGAUAGAGCCUUCCCCUUCGGGGGACAAAGUGACAGGUGGUGCAUGGUUGUCGUCAGCUCGUGUCGUGAGAUGUUGGGUUAAGUCCCGCAACGAGCGCAACCCUUAAGCUUAGUUGCCAUCAUUAAGUUGGGCACUCUAGGUUGACUGCCGGUGACAAACCGGAGGAAGGUGGGGAUGACGUCAAAUCAUCAUGCCCCUUAUGAUUUGGGCUACACACGUGCUACAAUGGACAAUACAAAGGGCAGCUAAACCGCGAGGUCAUGCAAAUCCCAUAAAGUUGUUCUCAGUUCGGAUUGUAGUCUGCAACUCGACUACAUGAAGCUGGAAUCGCUAGUAAUCGUAGAUCAGCAUGCUACGGUGAAUACGUUCCCGGGUCU
This 1370-nucleotide ribosomal RNA is filed under the name uncultured bacterium. RNAcentral describes it as "bacterial SSU rRNA". It matches the Rfam family "Bacterial small subunit ribosomal RNA", at positions 28 to 1381 of the family's 1533-position model. The record is from RNAcentral.